GAUGAACGCUAGCGGCAGGCCUAAUACAUGCAAGUCGAACGGGAUCCAGAUCAAAGCUUGCUUUGGUUUGGUGAGAGUGGCGCACAGGUGCGUAACGCGUGAGCAACCUACCCUUGUCAGGGGGAUAGCCCGGCGAAAGUCGGAUUAAUACCGCAUGACAUCAUUGAGAGGCAUCUUUCGAUGAUCAAAGAUUUAUCGGACAAGGAUGGGCUCGCGUGACAUUAGCUAGUUGGUAAGGUAACGGCUUACCAAGGCUACGAUGUCUAGGGGCUCUGAGAGGAGAAUCCCCCACACUGGUACUGAGACACGGACCAGACUCCUACGGGAGGCAGCAGUAAGGAAUAUUGGUCAAUGGACGGAAGUCUGAACCAGCCAUGCCGCGUGCAGGAAGACGGCCCUAUGGGUUGUAAACUGCUUUUAUACGGGAACAAACGUCGGUACGUGUACCGGUCUGAGUGUACCGUAAGAAUAAGGAUCGGCUAACUCCGUG
This 490-nucleotide ribosomal RNA is filed under the name uncultured bacterium. RNAcentral describes it as "partial 16S ribosomal RNA". It matches the Rfam family "Bacterial small subunit ribosomal RNA", at positions 28 to 507 of the family's 1533-position model. The record is from RNAcentral.